Salvelinus fontinalis (brook trout) is the source of this 800-nucleotide long non-coding RNA. RefSeq lists it as uncharacterized. The transcript is spliced from 3 exons. The record is from RefSeq and is a predicted model, not a curated record. NCBI's taxonomy places the organism in Eukaryota, Metazoa, Chordata, Actinopteri, Salmoniformes, Salmonidae.
AAAUUUCAAUUUUUUUUUGACACCCUGGGUUGACUCCUCCUGCUUCGCAUCGUUACGUUUCUCCAAUAGUCAAAUUUCGAAGUUAAAGCAGAAAUGUUUCCACUUUGAAUGAAAAGAAGGCGGUUGAGCACUGAGCCAACUUUGACUGUCCUUCUGGGCUAAGUGUGUCUUCGCACUAAUCCCGCCUAAUCGACUGACCCUGCGGCCCCGGAGCUGGAGAGAAAGUGAAUGUCACUUGCAACCUAACGUUCCAGCUGCCAAAAACAAAGCAGAGCAGACGAAGCCAACAAGCAUCAUUCUCGGUUCUCGGAUCGGAAUCAAAUCGACCGCAAAAGAGCAAAGAUGCGAGAAAAAAACUGCUCAUGACCAAUCCAGAAACAAGAUUCAUAUUGGAAUCUCAUAUUUUGAAAGGGACACCAACAAAUGAACAUGUUCCAAGCACACCAAGACAGUCGUGAAGAGGGCACAAAACCCACUCCACCUCAGGAGACUGAAAAGAUUUGGCAUGGGUCCUCAGAUCCUCAAAAGGAUCUACAGCCGCACCAUCAAGAGCAUCCUGACGGGUUGCAUCACUGCCUGACUCAGAAGGAUGACGCCCAGCUCAUCAGGACCAAUCUGAGAAGACAACAACCUGUCCAGAACCAACCAAAUGACCAGAACUUCCAGACUCAACCUACUUUCUGUGUUGUAUAAAAUGUCUAUGCAUUCUGUUAUCUGGGCUUUUUUCUGGAGGUUCUCUAUGAGCUAAAGGAACGAGUCCGUAUACGCUUGUACCAGAUAUCUUUACUCUUAAAUUAAAA